Molecule: long non-coding RNA, 829 nt
Filed under: Rattus norvegicus (Norway rat)
Lineage: Eukaryota; Metazoa; Chordata; Mammalia; Rodentia; Muridae
Description: long non-coding RNA NONRATT023145
Source: RNAcentral
GAUUGAUACAGAAAUAAGACGGGCAAGGACGGACGGCGUGUCGGUGGCCGGGCUGCCUGCACAAGGAUGUUUUUUUGUAGGAACAGGGUACAUAGAAAGCAGAUUUCAGAGGCACAGUUGGAAGAACUGGACUUAGCCCACCAUCACUGACUGGUUUCCUGUGUGACCAUAGGUUCAGUUCUGCCCCCUUAGAAAGAAAGAGUCUACAUAUCUGUAUGUCUCUAAGAUAAUCUGAACCCUGACAAAAACACAAACUAAACACCGAAAGCUAAAGGGACCAUUUUGGUUCAGGUUGGAUUUGGAAAGAUGGUAAGUAAAACAAAUUAACUCGUGUAUCAUUAAUCAUUAAUUUUUAUAUCAUUUGGGGAGAUUUCCUCCCAGUGUCUAAGGAGAAACUUCAUAAAUGUUCGUGUGGAUCCUGCCUUUAAUCCCAGCACUUGCGAGACAGAGGCAGGCAGAUCUCAGGUCAGCCUGGCCUACACAGUGAAUUCUAGGCCAGUCAGGGCUAUGUAGACCCUGUCUCAGAAAACGCUGGGUGUGUUUCAGUCAUCUCUUGGGGUAAACACUCACUAACCACGGGCCUCUGUCUCUGUGCCUCCUCUCCAGCCUGCCUUACGUUCAGUAUUUUGGAGGUGUCUCCGCUCUCAGUAAACAACAGUUCCUUACCAUCAAUGGAUUUCCUAAUAAUUACUGGGGCUGGGGAGGAGAAGAUGAUGACAUUUUUAACAGAUUAGUUCAUAAAGGCAUGUCUAUAUCACGCCCAAAUGCUGUGGUAGGCAGGUGUCGCAUGAUCCGGCACUCAAGAGACAAGAAAAAUGAGCCCAACCCU